AGAGUUUGAUCAUGGCUCAGGACGAACGCUGGCGGCGUGCCUAAUCUAUGCAAGUCAAUCCCCCCGAUUUAUCGGGGAGAGGCAGACGAGUGAGUAACGCGUAGGAACCAACCCUCGAUUCGACCAUAUCCAUGCGAAAGUAUGAGUAAUAGUCGAUAGUCUUUUCUGUUGGUAGCAGAAAAAGUAAAGCUUUUGCGAUCGAGGACGGGCCUGCGUCCUAUCAGUUAGUUGGUAGGGUAAUUGCCUACCAAGACUAUGACGGGUAGGGGGCGUGAGAGCGUGACCCCCCACGAUGGCACUGAGAUACGGGCCAUACAUCUACGGAUGGCAGCAAGUAGGAAUAUUGCGCAAUGGACGAAAGUCUGACGCAGCGACGCCGCGUGUAGGAAGAAGCAUUUCGGUGUGUA
This 407-nucleotide ribosomal RNA is filed under the name uncultured bacterium. RNAcentral describes it as "bacterial SSU rRNA". It matches the Rfam family "Bacterial small subunit ribosomal RNA", at positions 8 to 427 of the family's 1533-position model. The record is from RNAcentral.